This 1023-nucleotide ribosomal RNA is filed under the name Parabacteroides merdae. RNAcentral describes it as "partial 23S ribosomal RNA". It matches the Rfam family "Bacterial large subunit ribosomal RNA", at positions 968 to 1999 of the family's 2925-position model. Lineage: Bacteria; Pseudomonadati; Bacteroidota; Bacteroidia; Bacteroidales; Tannerellaceae. The record is from RNAcentral.
AUAUAUUUACAGGGAGUGAGGGCGCGGGUGCUAAGGUCCGUGUCCGAGAGGAGAAGAAUCCAGACCACCGGCUAAGGCCCCCAAAUGAUCGUUAAGUUGAACUAACGAGGUCGGAUCGCAGAGACAGCUAGGAUGUUGGCUUGGAAGCAGCCAUUCAUUUAAAGAGUGCGUAACAGCUCACUAGUCGAGCGAUCUGGCGUGGAUAAUAAUCGGGCAUAAACGAUCUGCCGAAGCCGUGGAUGUCGCAAGACAUGGUAGGGGAGCAUUCCAUGCGGCGUCGAAGAUGAGGGAUGACCCUUGUUGGAGCGCAUGGAAAAGCAAAUGUAGGUAUGAGUAACGAUAAGGGGGGCGAGAAACCCCCCCGCCGAAAGACCAAGGUUUCCUGAUCAACGCUAAUCGGAUCAGGGUGAGUCGGGACCUAAGGCAAAGCCGAACGGCGCCGCCGAUGGAAGAAUGGGUUAAUAUUCCCAUACUGCCUCAUGGAGUGACGUGGAGACGGAGAAGUGACAGUCCUGCCGGCUGACGGAAUAGCCGGUUGAAGGGUGUAGAUAUUGAUUCCCGUAGGCAAAUCCGCGGGGAGAGUCGAACCUGAGAGUAUACGGAGCGCUUGCGCGACGUAAUAUGGACGUAACCAUGCUCCCGAGAAAAUCCGCUAAACUUAUCCAUGCGGCACCCGUACCGUAAACGGACACACGUGGUCGGGUUGAGAAUACUGAGGCGCUCGAGUGAUUCACGGUUAAGGAACUAGGCAAAUUGACCCUGUAACUUCGGGAUAAAGGGUCCUCGUCGUAAGGCGAGGCGCAGAGAAUAGGUCCAGGCAACUGUUUAACAAAAACACAUGGCUGUGCUAAAUGGAAACAUGAUGUAUACAGCCUGACACCUGCCCGGUGCCGGAAGGUUAAGAGGAGAUGUCAUCCGCGAGGAGAAGCGUUGAAUUGAAGCCCCGGUAAACGGCGGCCGUAACUAUAACGGUCCUAAGGUAGCGAAAUUCCUUGUCGGGUAAGUUCCGACCUGCACGAAUGG